This 2605-nucleotide long non-coding RNA is filed under the name Homo sapiens (human). Its description in RNAcentral is "HSALNT0267308". Lineage: Eukaryota; Metazoa; Chordata; Mammalia; Primates; Hominidae. The record is from RNAcentral.
AUUAGUCAUUAGGGUGGCCUAGUCCAGUAUGGCUGGUGUCUUUAUAAAAGGGAAAAUUUGGACACAGAGACAAAGACACAGGGAGAACACCAUGUGACGUUGAAGUCAGAGAUCAGAGUGAUGCAUCUACAAGCCAAGGAAUGCCAAAAAUUGCCAGCAAACCACCAGAAGCCAGGGGAGAGGCACAGAAUAGAUUCCCCCUCACUGCACUCCAGGUGUCAACCCUGCCAGCACCUGGUUCACAAACUUCUAGCCUCCAGAACUGUGAGACAGUAAGUUUCUGUUUCUUAGCCACUCAAUUGGUGGUACUUUUUUACAGUAGCCCUAGUAAAGAGAUACAGAACUCAGUGGUGGGAUGGAAGCAGGGCAGAGGAGUGGAGAGGUAGUGGGUGAGGACCAGGAACCUGGCCCCACCAAAUGCCCAAGGGUGGUUGGUGGCAGGCCUGGUCUGGGCCAAGCCAGAAGCCAUCUUUGUCCAAGGGUGAAUGAGGUCUUGUCACAGACAGAGAUGACAUGCCGUCACAGGGAUGAGUUAUCUUUGGCUCUGGGCCAGGAAUCCAGCCGGGAACUGAAGGGAAGGGAAGCAGGCUGCAGUCUUGGGGGAAGGAACUGGUAAGACCUGGUUAUUAUGGUGGGCUUCAGAGCAGAGAUGUCUGAGGCUCACCAGUGACCAUCUCUUCUGCUUAUAUUCCACUAGCAAAAACUAGUCAUAUGGACCUACUCAGAUUCAGGGGCCUCUGGGAAUGUUGUCUAGCUUUGUUUCAAGUGCCCCUUCUGUCUGACUAGUUCUUGCUGAUGGAAUGUAAGGAGAAGAGAUUGGUGCUGCCUCUGAGCAGAGGUAGUUAAGAGGGAAUGUGCCCUUUCCACACUUUGUCUCCUUUCCUGUCUAAUUGGCUGAGUGGAUGGGACUCAGAGAACACAGCCUUGACAUAAAGGGGACUUGGAGGCUGGGCAUGGUGGCUCACGCCUGUAAUCCCAGCAUUGUGGGAGGCUGAGGCAGGAGGAUGUCUUAAGCCCAGGAGUUCAAGACCAGCCUGGACAACAUGGCGAAACCCCAUCUCUACAAAAAUGCAAAAAUUAGCAGGGCUUGGUGGCAUGUGCCUGUAGUCCCAGCUACUUGGGAGGCUGAGGUGGGAGGACUGCUUGAGCCCAGGAGGCAGAGGUUGCAGUAAACUCCAUGCCACUGCACUCCAGCCUGGGCAACAGAGCCAGACCCUCCCUGUCUCACAUACACACGCACAAAAAAAAAAAAAAAAAAAAAAGAAAAGAAAAAAAGAGGGACUUGGGGCCAGGAUCCUGGAGUCCUUGCUUGGGGAUAACUUCCUGGAGAGCUGCUCAGUCAGCUAUACCCUUGGGAGUCUUUUGUUGAGGGAGAAAUAAAUGUCAUUUUGCAAAGCCACUGAUAUUCUGUGGUUAUCACGGCAGUUUAGAGAGGAAGGAUGGGGGAAAGCUGGGUUGCGCUCUAGGCCUUGACACUUCCUGCCUUUGUAGUGUUAGGCAAACAUGGCAACCCCAGAAAACUCAGCUGCCUCAGUUUUAAGGCAUGCAGGGUCUUUGUGAGGACCAUAUAAGCCACGUGGAGGGGUCUAGACCAAGCAUAGUGCUUGGAAGAAAGGGCGUGUGUGCUAAUGAUUUAUGUCUCUUUUCUUUCUGAGAGUCUUGCUCCCCAACACCAGAGGUGAGACCACCUGGAGUGACCGUCUCUUGACUAAAUAAAAAACCUCUUUCCAAGAAGAUCUAUCCUCCAAGAACCACCUGGAUUCCCCAAGAGAUUCUGGGGUCCCCAAACCUGACCUUGGAGCCUCUUUGAUUUGCAAGAUUGCUUAUUUCCAUUUUAAAGGAAGCAUUUCUAAUUAAGGAAAGCUCUGGCUAUACAUAGGAGAGAAUAGUAUAAUGGGCCCUCCUACCCCAUCAUGGAUCACCCAGCUUCAACAAUUACUAACAUUCUGACAAUCAUGUUUUAUCCAUCUCCUCCCCAGUUUGUUGGAAUAUUUUAAAACAAGUCCCAGAUGUUGUAUCAUUUCUCCUGCAAAAGUUGUUUUACUUCUCCAUAGGUAAAAUAACUUAUUAAAAACAUAACCAGAAUGUUAUUAACAUACCUACACAAAUGAACAAUAAUUCCUGAAUAUUAUCUAAUGUCAGGCCAUGUUCAAUUUUCUCCAAUUAUCUCAAAAAAUGUCUCUUUAGAGCCAGCUUGUUUGGAUCAGCAUCCAAAUGAAAGUCCACGUUUUUCAUUUGGUUGAUGCAACUUGCAAGUCUCUCUUAAUCUAUACCAUUUCUCCCUCCUUUUGAAACCAUGCUCUUUGUAUAUUAAAGAGUCUAGUAGAAAGAAUUUUACAGUCCUUGAUACAUGUUAGAAAGCUGAUUUCCAGGAGGGUUGUAACAAUUUGCGCCUCUUCCAGCAAUGUGAGGGAGUGCACAUCUUGUCAUCCCCAGCACUGAAUAUCAUUGCAAUUAAGAAAAAAUCAAUUUGAUAGGUGAAUGAUGGCAUCUUAUUGCUGUUUUGACUUGCAUUUCUGUGAUUAUAUGCAUGAUUGAACAUUUUUUUCACAUGUAUAUUGGCUGUUUGUAUUUCUUCUUUUGUGAAUUAUCUGCUUUGACCUUU